GGGCGAAUGGUCUAGAGGUAUGAUAUUCGCUUUGCAUAACUGAGGAAAAUUCAUCUGUGAUGAUUGCGAAGGGUCCGGGGUUCAAUUCCCCGUUCGUCCA
Molecule: transfer RNA, 100 nt
Filed under: Rosellinia necatrix
Lineage: Eukaryota; Fungi; Ascomycota; Sordariomycetes; Xylariales; Xylariaceae
Rfam family: tRNA
About the family: Transfer RNA (tRNA) molecules are approximately 80 nucleotides in length.
Source: Rfam by way of RNAcentral